Molecule: long non-coding RNA, 1133 nt
Filed under: Sus scrofa (pig)
Lineage: Eukaryota; Metazoa; Chordata; Mammalia; Artiodactyla; Suidae
Description: lncRNA (ENSSSCG00070022918.1)
Rfam family: Eukaryotic small subunit ribosomal RNA (bases 428-1133)
Source: RNAcentral
GCGGGCCGGCCGUCAUAGCCGUGCCGCUCCUGGGUGGGUGGGUGGGUGGGGGGAGGGCCUUGGGCCUUGGCCUUGGCCCUCGUUGCCACCCCUCUCCUGUCCGCUCGAGCGAGGGCGCGCGCGUGUCGGCCGGUCCCGACGUGACUGCUCGGUGCCCCGGGCCGUCGAGGGGAGGUCCGUGUCUGGGGUGUGGUGGUGGUGGGGAGCUUGGGGCUUCCCCCUCGUCCCUCCGCGACGCCGCGGUGCGGCCCCGCGCCGCUUGUGCCCUCGGUCGAGUUGUCGGGCGGCCCGUCGUCGGUCCUCGCUGCGGGUGUGGUGGGCCGCUGGGUCCCUGGGGUGCGCCUCCGCCCCCACCCCGCUGUCAACCGCCCUGCAAGCACGCACGCCUUGCGCUGGGGUCCACCUGGCCCGCUGUCCCACCGUCUCCUACCUGGUUGAUCCUGCCAGUAGCAUAUGCUUGUCUCAAAGAUUAAGCCAUGCAUGUCUAAGUACGCACGGCCGGUACAGUGAAACUGCGAAUGGCUCAUUAAAUCAGUUAUGGUUCCUUUGGUCGCUCGCUCCUCUCCUACUUGGAUAACCUCGGGCCGAUCGCACGCCCUCCGUGGCGGCGACGACCCAUUCGAACGUCUGCCCUAUCAACUUUCGAUGGUAGUCGCCGUGCCUACCAUGGUGACCACGGGUGACGGGGAAUCAGGGUUCGAUUCCGGAGAGGGAGCCUGAGAAACGGCUACCACAUCCAAGGAAGGCAGCAGGCGCGCAAAUUACCCACUCCCGACCCGGGGAGGUAGUGACGAAAAAUAACAAUACAGGACUCUUUCGAGGCCCUGUAAUUGGAAUGAGUCCACUUUAAAUCCUUCCGCGAGGAUCCAUUGGAGGGCAAGUCUGGUGCCAGCAGCCGCGGUAAUUCCAGCUCCAAUAGCGUAUAUUAAAGUUGCUGCAGUUAAAAAGCUCGUAGUUGGAUCUUGGGAGCGGGCGGGCGGUCCGCCGCGAGGCGAGCCACCGCCCGUCCCCGCCCCUUGCCUCUCGGCGCCCCCUCGAUGCUCUUAGCUGAGUGUCCCGCGGGGCCCGAAGCGUUUACUUUGAAAAAAUUAGAGUGUUCAAAGCAGGCCCGAGCCGCCUGGAUACCGCAGCUA